This 253-nucleotide ribosomal RNA is filed under the name uncultured bacterium. RNAcentral describes it as "partial 16S ribosomal RNA". It matches the Rfam family "Bacterial small subunit ribosomal RNA", at positions 524 to 776 of the family's 1533-position model. The record is from RNAcentral.
UACAGAGGUCUCAAGCGUUGUUCGGAUUCAUUGGGCGUAAAGGGUGUGUAGGUGGCGCGCUAAGUCGGGUGUGAAAUUUCGGAGCUUAACUCCGAAACUGCAUUCGAUACUGGCGUGCUUGAGGACUGGAGAGGAGACUGGAAUUCAUGGUGUAGCAGUAAAAUGCGUAGAGAUCAUGAGGAAGACCAGUGGCGAAGGCGGGUCUCUGGACAGUUCCUGACACUGAGACACGAAGGCCAGGGGAGCAAACGGG